CAGUUGGCACUAGUGCAGACAAAUAACAACAGUGGCAUGGAACCGGAGAUAGGUUCGCCAGAUGUAGAAGAUGAAGAAUUUGAUGAUGAAGCAGUGUAUGUACUUGAACCUGAUCCCGGGAAGAGGAUUCCCAUCAUAAACUAUGACGUCAAUGAUCAAGACUUGGUGAGAAGGAGAUACAUUGCAAUGGGGGCUUGUCAACCAAAGAAACAUCAAUUCAAAGUAACAAAAGAUAAAACUAAACAUAAAGGUGGUGAUGCUUUUGUGAAAGGAGGGUUCAGAAAUUGGAACAUGAUGAAAAAUAGGUGUGAAAAACAUUCUGGUUCUCUCACUAGUGCUCAUUGUGAAGCUCAAGAGAAAUAUGAUUUGUUCAUUAAGCCCGAUGCAUCAAUUAGGCAGUCUAUGGCUUCAACUUCCAAACAAGCCAAGGCUCGAUAUAUUUCUCGACUAGGUUAUUCUAUUUACUGUCUCAGAUUUCUUUUGAAGCAAGGCUUG
RNAcentral lists this ribosomal RNA (495 nucleotides) under Triticum aestivum (bread wheat). RNAcentral describes it as "partial small subunit ribosomal RNA". Lineage: Eukaryota; Viridiplantae; Streptophyta; Magnoliopsida; Poales; Poaceae. The record is from RNAcentral.